Molecule: ribosomal RNA, 253 nt
Filed under: uncultured bacterium
Lineage: Bacteria
Description: partial 16S ribosomal RNA
Rfam family: Bacterial small subunit ribosomal RNA
Source: RNAcentral
UACGUAGGGUGCGAGCGUUAAUCGGAAUUACUGGGCGUAAAGCGUGCGCAGGCGGUUCGUUAAGUCAGAUGUGAAAGCCCCGGGCUCAACCUGGGAACUGCAUUUGAAACUGGCGGGCUUGAGUGUGGCAGAGGGGGGUGGAAUUCCGCGUGUAGCGGUGAAAUGCGUAGAUAUCAGGAGGAACACCGGUGGCGAAGGCGGGUCUCUGGGCAACAACUGACGCUGAGGAGCGAAAGCGUGGGGAGCGAACAGG